AUUUGACGGCGCGGUGGACGUAGUCGAUGUCCGACCUCGAUCUCUCUUCCGACGACGAUGAGGCAGCCGGCCUCGCGGACGGGUACCGGUUCUUUUCUAUCCACACCUGGUUUUUUCUAUCGUCGAAAACAAUAGCGAACGAUGAGCAUAGAACUCGAUAGACGAAAGAGACCGACGGCUUCGUACGGGGAACGAGAAAGGAGGAUGGGAAUGUUUGAAAAAAGUUGGAGAUCGGCGUCGAGAAGAGAUAGCGGCGAGCGCCGCUCGAUCGUCCUAGUACUUCGGACUAACCUUCCUGGCUGAGGCCAUUACGUGCAACCGUGAACUUUAGGAAAAGCGACAGAGAUUAUCGGUGGUGCGGUGAUAAGCGCCGCCGCUCUUCUCUGCGUUACGCUUCGCUUUGGUCGUCUACACGCUUCGGGACUGUCGGCGACAAUUGUACGCGACACACGGAGCCAGCGUGAAGAGAUGAAAAACCAAUUCCGAGCCACCUACUACAUAUCGAUGCCGGUCGAAAGUCCAACAAGAUGAAUUCCAGUCUAUCGUGGAGAACGAAAGAAUAACAAGACCGAUUGGAAGCCGAGUAAAUACGUAUAAAAGGUGUUUUUCCCGCUAUCCGAUUAAAUUCGCUGCUCUCGUUCAGAGUCAUGACUGCCACCCGUAAUUCGCAGAGGAGAGAGAGAAGAAUUUCUCCUGGAAUUAUGAUUAAACCUUCUAUUUAGAACUGUUAGGAGUUUAAAUACCUGUCCGGCGACUCUAAUAAGUAGACUGCUGAUUUGUAUGCAAAACAUUUGUGACGCCAGUUUAAAAAAUGAAAUCUGGAUGUUCAAGGAUAAUGAUGUAUUUUAUACUUUUGAUAAUCUGUACAAUUUUGCAGUCUUUAUGUUUUCUAAUUUUUUUAAAAAUGCAUAAAAUCUGCAGUCUACUAAUAUGGAAGUAGAAUUAAUUCCACAGGUGAUUCGAUAACGAGAUACUUCAGUGUCAAAUGUUGACUGAGAUUUAAAGAGUAAGAUUAAACUCUAUAAGACUAGAAUUCCUCGUUCGAGUCUUUAAAUUUUCACCAGUGAAACAUGUGAUUGUAUUUUUUAAAUAUUAUUUUUCUCCGUUGAGUAAAUCGAUCCCAACGAAUAUAAUACAAUAGUGGUUAUAUAAAAAUAAUUAGUUUCUUUAAAUAAUAAUAGUAUAUGAAAUUAUAAGCAUUAUACCGAAGGGAAAUAAUCUCAUGGCUGAUAAUUGCAGCCGAAAUCAGUGGAAAAAACCCAGACUGAGUCGAAGUUGGAGAUUGUAGAGAAAGAAGUCUUCGCAUAAUUAAAUAUCCAGCUACUGAAUGUAUGUAUGGCAUGCAGAGAAAGGAUGAAUCUCAAGCUAUCUAAUCCUAUCACCGAAAAUAUUAUUAUUCAACAAGAAGAAGAAUAACUAAGCUCUAGACAAA
Long non-coding RNA from Ceratina calcarata, 1432 nucleotides. RefSeq lists it as uncharacterized. The transcript is spliced from 2 exons. Lineage: Eukaryota; Metazoa; Arthropoda; Insecta; Hymenoptera; Apidae. The record is from RefSeq and is a predicted model, not a curated record.